UUAUUAGAAGAGCAAAUAGCACUUCUCUCAUGUCUAAAAUUGCCAUUGGAAUGAAAUGUUUUUCUUCUUUUCUGUCAGAGAUCCAGUUUGGCAUUCUGUCUAAGUUCACUGCACAGAGACGGGUUUGGCUCUGUGAUUCAUCAGAAAUAAGAAAAACAAACACUGUAAAUGGAGAACUUGAAAAAGAGGUGGGCACCAUCUCCCCACCCAAGAGAAUGGAUUUAAGAGGAAAUUUGUUUAUGGGAUGAAGUUUUAAAAGGCGACCUGGAAAAUUUAGCAAAGAUGUAAAUAAACAACUCUUCCUUGGAUUGCAUUAGGCUUCAGAAUAAAUAUAUUAACCAGCUUCAGUCAAAGUCUGCCUAGAAUCUGACCCUGACAAGACCCAGUGACUAGUGCUGCUCCGAACCUUCCCCACCAACAGCAGGCAAUUUUCUCUGUGGCAAAGCUACCUCGAAACAGGCAUCCAGGCUUCCCUCCCACGAAGUGAAGAUGAGAAAACUGAGUCUCAGAAUGGACAAGCUCACAGAUGGCAAGUGGUAGAGCAGACUUCACACAUAGUGAUAACCAGGCAAGAUUACAUAAUUGACAUGGAAAG
This 595-nucleotide long non-coding RNA is filed under the name Homo sapiens (human). Its description in RNAcentral is "HSALNT0328470". Lineage: Eukaryota; Metazoa; Chordata; Mammalia; Primates; Hominidae. The record is from RNAcentral.